AGUGAACGCUGGCGGUAGUCCUAACACAUGCAAGUCGAACGGCAGCACAGUAAGAGCUUGCUCUUACGGGUGGCGAGUGGCGGACGGGUGAGGAAUACAUCGGAAUCUACUUUUUCGUGGGGGAUAACGUAGGGAAACUUACUCUAAUACCGCAUACGACCUACGGGUGAAAGCAGGGGAUCUUCGGACCUUGCGCGAUUGAAUGAGCCGAUGUCGGAUUAGCUAGUUGGCGGGGUAAAGGCCCACCAAGGCGACGAUCCGUAGCUGGUCUGAGAGGCUGAUCAGCCACACUGGAACUGAGACACGGUCCAGACUCCUACGGGAGGCCGCAGUGGGGAAUAUUGGACAAUGGGCGCAAGCCUGAUCCAGCCAUACCGCGUGGGUGAAGAAGGCCUUCGGGUUGUAAAGCCCUUUUGUUGGGAAAGAAAAGCAGCAGGUUAAUACCCCGCUGUUCUGACGGUACCCAAAGAAUAAGCACCGGCUAACUUCGUG
Molecule: ribosomal RNA, 492 nt
Filed under: uncultured bacterium
Lineage: Bacteria
Description: partial 16S ribosomal RNA
Rfam family: Bacterial small subunit ribosomal RNA
Source: RNAcentral